This 245-nucleotide unclassified non-coding RNA is filed under the name plant metagenome. Its description in RNAcentral is "partial contains small subunit ribosomal RNA, internal transcribed spacer 1, and 5.8S ribosomal RNA". The stretch from base 197 to 245 matches the Rfam family "5.8S ribosomal RNA", at positions 1 to 49 of the family's 154-position model. The record is from RNAcentral.
UCUCCGUUGGUGAACCAGCGGAGGGAUCAUUACAGGACUCGCAAGACUCCUACAACCCUGUGAACUUAACUAUAAGCACGUUGCUUCGGCGGGUGUCUCGGAGGGGGUUCUCCCUCCCCGAGACGCUAAACCCGCCGGCAGCCUACUAUACUCUGUCUCUUUGCGUUGGCAUCUCGAGUACAAUCAAACAAGUUAAAACUUUCAACAACGGAUCUCUUGGUUCUGGCAUCGACGAAGAACGCAGC